This 253-nucleotide ribosomal RNA is filed under the name uncultured bacterium. Its description in RNAcentral is "partial 16S ribosomal RNA". It matches the Rfam family "Bacterial small subunit ribosomal RNA", at positions 524 to 776 of the family's 1533-position model. The record is from RNAcentral.
UACAGAGGGGGCAAGCGUUGUUCGGAAUUACUGGGCGUAAAGGGCGCGUAGGCGGCCCUCUAAGUCAGACGUGAAAUCCCUCGGCUCAACCGGGGAACUGCGUCUGAGACUGGGGGGCUUGAAUCCGGGAGAGGGAUGUGGAAUUCCAGGCGUAGCGGUGAAAUGCGUAGAUAUCUGGAGGAACACCGGUGGCGAAGGCGGCAUCCUGGACCGGUAUUGACGCUGAGGCGCGAAAGCCAGGGGAGCAAACGGG